Molecule: ribosomal RNA, 779 nt
Filed under: Pseudomonas aeruginosa
Lineage: Bacteria; Pseudomonadati; Pseudomonadota; Gammaproteobacteria; Pseudomonadales; Pseudomonadaceae
Description: partial 16S ribosomal RNA
Source: RNAcentral
UCGAGCGGAUGAAGGGAGCUUGCUCCUGGAUUCAGCGGCGGACGGGUGAGUAAUGCCUAGGAAUCUGCCUGGUAGUGGGGGAUAACGUCCGGAAACGGGCGCUAAUACCGCAUACGUCCUGAGGGAGAAAGUGGGGGAUCUUCGGACCUCACGCUAUCAGAUGAGCCUAGGUCGGAUUAGCUAGUUGGUGGGGUAAAGGCCUACCAAGGCGACGAUCCGUAACUGGUYUGAGAGGAUGAUCAGUCACMCUGGAACUGAGACACGGUCCAGACUCCUWCGGGAGGCMGCAGUGGGGAAUWUUGGACMAUGGGCGAAAGCCUGAUCCARCCAUGCCGCGUGUGUGAAGAAGGUCUUCGGAUUGUAAAGCMCUUUAAGUUGGGAGGAAGGGCAGUAAGUUAAUWCCUUGCUGUUUUGACGUUACCAACAGAAUAAGCMCCGGCUAACUUCGUGCCAGCAGCCGCGGUAAUACGAAGGGUGCAAGCGUUAAUCGGAAUUACUGGGCGUAAAGCGCGCGUAGGUGGUUCAGCAAGUUGGAUGUGAAAUCCCCGGGCUCAACCUGGGAACUGCAUCCAAAACUWCUGAGCUAGAGUACGGUAGAGGGUGGUGGAAUUUCCUGUGUAGCGGUGAAAUGSGUAGAUAUAGGAAGGAACMCCAGUGGCGAAGGCGACCMCCUGGACUGAUMCUGACMCUGAGGUGCGAAAGCGUGGGGAGCAAACAGGAUUAGAUWCCCUGGUAGUCCMCSCCGUAAACGAUGUYGACUAGCCGUUGGGAUCCUUGAG